UAGAAAUUUGUUCAUAGACAUCGCAUGUUUUAAAUCGGUCAGACUUGCACACGAUGUAAAAAAGUAAUCUAACAUCGUUUUACGAAAAUACCGAUUUAAAUGUAUAUCAUUAACAUCGGGUCUUAAAAUGACCGGUGUUAAAAGUUUUGUUUGAAAAUUUGCGGGAACCUACUUUUGCAAAACGCGCUAAGUCUUUUAAGUGAAAUGAAGAAGCGGGUACUAAAACUCAAAACUUUCACACUUAAAAAAAAUUUUGCACCCGACCCCAAAACUGAAACAGAUCGAAACCCUUGAGCUCAGUCUCGAGCUCCUCCCAAACUUGAGCUCCUCCUCCUCCUCCUCACCAUCACAAUCCUUCCUCCUCCAUUUUUGGCGGAAUCUAAAGAGCUGAGAGAGUCGAAGAAACCUAGAUCCCAACAAUGUCGAAGAAACCCGAGCUCCUUCUCGACCUUUCUUCGCCUCUGACUGAGAUCAAUUAGCUUAAUUCUCAUCUCAUCUCAGCUUCUCUCUCCAGAUCAGUGUAUGAAUUUCUAAACCCAGCCCCCUUUUUCUUUUUCGCUCUUCGAUGUUUUCUGCUAGUUGCUUUUAUUCUAUGGAUUUGUGCGCUAGAGCCCGGCCUCACAUAUAAAGAGAAUGAGUUAUGGGUGAGUCUCAAUUUCCUGCUCUUCUUCCACCAUGACCGAUAAAGUUGAAUCGUCUGACCCGUAAUCCCUCAGAUCCAAUUCCUCUUCUUUUCGAUUUUGACCUAACUUUUUUGGUUUUCUGCAAUCUUUAGGGGCGACACAAUCGUCAUCAAGGUGUGAUUUUGAUGUGGGUUUUGUUGGUUUAUUCAGAAUAUUGUUGAAGAAAAUUGAUGGAAUUUUGCUUAAUUAGGUUUCGGGUAGUGAGUGAAGGAUGGAUUUGUAGUUGGGUUGAUGGGUUUUGUGUGUUUUGUUUGAGAUCUGGUGACUGGGUGUGUUUUGGUGUCCGAAAGUUGAGGUUUUGAUGUAAAGUUUUAUGCUUUUCUGCUGGCUCUGAACCCUUAUACUCUUUUUUAGUUCUCUUAAUCACCUUGUUUAAGUUGCACUCGUGUGGUUCCUAAUUCUGACAUUACAAUGUUGUUUUGAAUUGGUUCGACCCCGAAACCGAUUGUGGUUUCUCCAACGACCGAGCUUCUUCGAGGACGACCGAACUCAGAAUCGAGGAUGGGGCACAACUGAAGCGCUAUUUGAUCCCCAAAUCUAGAGUGAAAUCUGAGAGAAGCAAAACGAAAAGCGAAAUCAAAACCAGAGCAAGGUGAUGAUUCAAAACAGAGUUUUUACUUUGGUCCUUUUGAAGACGUAACUCAAAAUAAGUUGAAUCAAUGGCCUCCAGAAGUUCCGCCAGGAAAAGAAUAUUAGUAUCUCUGAUUGCCCUGGCUUUGAACCUGGAUGAGAAUUUUUUUGAGAAAGUUGGGGAUCUGAAUGGCCACUUUUGCAAUUCUUCACCUUUUGCACCAUCCAGAAUUGGUGAAUUCCGGUGCUGGAUAGUUGGGGAUUUAAUGAGCAUUUCUAUUGGUGAUGCGGAAUUGAUGGCAAGCCCAGUCAUGUUCUAUGCAGAUUUUCCAGAAAGCAAUAUCAACUUCAAAUGCUUACAAUGAUCAAUUCAGGACCAUAAGCCACAAGAGAGUUAAGCUUGCCAACCUUGGUCGCCGUGGAUUAAAGAAAAAAAUCAAGGAAGACAAUUAAGGACCCCCUUAAGUCUUUCAGUGCUCAGCUUAUUUCCUGGAGGCCUACACCCUAGUGAGGAAGGGUGAUCUCUUGAUUGUGAGAGGAGGAAUGAGGAGUGUCGAGUUCAAGGUUAUUGAGACUGAUCCUUCUUGAGUAUUGUGUUGUUGCUCCAAACACUGAAAUAUUUCCAAUAGGGUUUACUAAGGUGGCUACAGAUAAGAAUUCUAAAGCUGGAUCAAAUGUCUAGGCUAGCCUUUGUAGGUUUUGAGGUUUUAUUUUGUGAAUUAUGUUGAAUCAUGAAUUUGAAAAGAAAUUAAUGGAAGCCUCAAUUUUUGGAUGA
This is a long non-coding RNA of Rosa rugosa (rugosa rose), 2028 nucleotides long. RefSeq lists it as uncharacterized. The transcript is spliced from 7 exons. The record is from RefSeq and is a predicted model, not a curated record. Lineage: Eukaryota; Viridiplantae; Streptophyta; Magnoliopsida; Rosales; Rosaceae.